GGGAUAACAAUAUGUUUAUAAUCAUUCAAGACAUUAGAUUUUUGAAAUUUGAAAUAUUUUGUUGAACUUAAAAUGUAAUGGUCCAUCACCCUUUAAAGACAUUUUCAGAACAUUGUAGUAUUUUCAACUUUUCCCGUCUCCUACCAAUGCAUUUUUGAACAGUUGAACAAAAGAAAAUUCUUAUUUCUAAUUGCUCUCUAUUCAACAACAAAAUAUAAUAUUGCAUACAA
This 230-nucleotide long non-coding RNA is filed under the name Mytilus galloprovincialis (Mediterranean mussel). The record is from RNAcentral. Lineage: Eukaryota; Metazoa; Mollusca; Bivalvia; Mytilida; Mytilidae.